Molecule: long non-coding RNA, 391 nt
Filed under: Penaeus japonicus
Lineage: Eukaryota; Metazoa; Arthropoda; Malacostraca; Decapoda; Penaeidae
Description: uncharacterized LOC122263223
Source: RNAcentral
CAGUACUCUGACGUGCGGUGAUAAUCAGGGAUAACUGCAAUAACCUAGAUAUUAACCAGUUAAAAAUAACAUCUAAACUUGACAUCAUACAUCGUCCCAUAAUCACAAAUUCCUCGGAUGCGAUGACUGCAGACGAGGCAGCGCAGGCACUCGAGAUGACUUUACAGCAGAUGUGCCAGGAGUGAUUUCCGGAGAAGAGGCCCUGUGGCAGGAAGGAUAACAAACCAUGGAUCUUAGCGAGGAUUUUGAAAAUGAUGGAUAAAAAGGCGACGUGUGUACAUUGCUGGGAACAUGGUACAAGGGAGAGAAUUAUACGUUGUAGUGAUACGAGAUAAAUGUAUAAAUAUAGAUAUAAAUAAAUAUAAAUAAAGAUAAAAGGGAUGAACGUAAA